CGGGGCGGGGGCACGGGGGGCUUACGGGAGGCAGCAGUGGGGAAUUUUGGACAAUGGGGGAAACCCUGAUCCAGCAAUGCCGCGUGUGCGAAGAAGGCCUUCGGGUUGUAAAGCACUUUUGUCAGGGAAGAAAUCCUUUGGGCUAAUACCCUAGGGGGAUGACGGUACCUGAAGAAUAAGCACCGGCUAACUACGUGCCAGCAGCCGCGGUAAUACGUAGGGUGCAAGCGUUAAUCGGAAUUACUGGGCGUAAAGCGUGCGCAGGCGGUUGUGUAAGACAGGUGUGAAAUCCCCGGGCUUAACCUGGGAAUUGCAUUUGUGACUGCACGACUAGAGUGUGUCAGAGGGGGGUGGAAUUCCACGUGUAGCAGUGAAAUGCGUAGAUAUGUGGAGGAACACCAAUGGCGAAGGCAGCCCCCUGGGAUAACACUGACGCUCAUGCACGAAAGCGUGGGGAGCAAACAGGAUUAGAUACCCUGGUAGUCCACGCCCUAAACGAUGUCAACUAGUUGUUGGGGAUUUACUUCCUCGGUAACGUAGCUAACGCGUAAGUGACCGCCUGGAAACCA
Molecule: ribosomal RNA, 569 nt
Filed under: uncultured Limnobacter sp.
Lineage: Bacteria; Pseudomonadati; Pseudomonadota; Betaproteobacteria; Burkholderiales; Burkholderiaceae
Description: bacterial SSU rRNA
Rfam family: Bacterial small subunit ribosomal RNA
Source: RNAcentral